GGCCCGGGGUGACCAGCUGGCUCUCUUUAUCAAGCUCAGACUCCUCAAGUCCCCGCUUGGAAGAACAGUCACAGAUUCCAUAUACAGGAAUUCAAGAUCUCCAAGCAGCAGGGAGGGGGUUCAGAAUACAUAUUCAAGUUGUUGCAGCUCAAAACACUGAUGUAGACAUGGCUGGCACCAACGUGGCUCUAGGACAUACUCCAGCUGCACUAGGGAGGUGAAGCAGGAAUUCACUGAGCCCCAAGGAAUGGGAAACUGCUUCUUUUAGUUCUCCCAGAACUCUCCACAUUGAUCCCACUCUGGCUACCAGCACUAGCUGGACAGUAAUGACUCUCAGAGGUGAACACAAUAUGCCUCAACAUGCCUUUCUGGAAGUUCACAUAGGAACUGCACAGCACCUGAAUUCCAGUUCUGCAAAGCUCUUCUCUGAAUACUGGAGGUACCAGCAUGAUCCUGGCACUGCCCCUGCCUCCGCUGUCUGUCUAAUUGUAGCUCUCUGGGGCCACUCUUGUGAGUUUCUAAGUUCUGAGGACCUUAAUCUUUUCCACUGUUUCCCAGCCCUAGACAGGUAGCUGCUACCUGAUGUUGUCAUCCCGUGUUAGCUCAGUGUUCAUUUUUACCAUUAAAACACCUGCU
RNAcentral lists this long non-coding RNA (636 nucleotides) under Homo sapiens (human). RNAcentral describes it as "HSALNT0357400". The record is from RNAcentral. Lineage: Eukaryota; Metazoa; Chordata; Mammalia; Primates; Hominidae.